RNAcentral lists this long non-coding RNA (1782 nucleotides) under Pan troglodytes (chimpanzee). RNAcentral describes it as "long non-coding RNA NONPTRT016961". Lineage: Eukaryota; Metazoa; Chordata; Mammalia; Primates; Hominidae. The record is from RNAcentral.
GGAGGGAGGAGGACGACGUCCCUCCCGAAGAGAAGAGGCUGCGGCUGUUGCUGGAGGGGGAAGCGCACAGCCCGAGGACUGCGAGGACGGGGAGGACGCGCCGCGGCCGGGCAGGGAGGAGACCGGCACCCAGACAGGUGGCGAUGGCAGAGGAGUGCAGGCAGAGCCCCCGGAUCCAUGGCCAGCCCUUCCGGCAGAUCUGAAGCCACUGGCAAGCCCCGAGGCAGGGAUGGCCGGCCCAGGAGGGAGGAGGACGACGUCCCUCCCGAAGAGAAGAGGCUGCGGCUGUUGCUGGAGGGGGAAGCGCACAGCCCGAGGACUGCGAGGACGGGGAGGACGCGCCGCGGCCAGGCAGAAAGGAGACCGGGACCCAGACAGGUGGCGACGGCAGAUCUACAGGUAUAUCCAGCAGCUCCAGAGAGACAGCGACCAGCGAGAAGGGGCCAUGAUGAUGAUGGUGGUUUUGUCCAAACGAAAAGGGAGAUAUGUAGGGAAAAGAAAGAGAGAUCAGACUGUUACUGUGUCUACAUAGAAAGUGAAGACAUAAGAGACUCCAUUUUGAAAAAGACCUGUACUUUAAACAAUUGCUUUGCUGAGAUGUUGUUAAUCUGUAGCUUUGCUGCAGCCACUUUGCCCCAACCACUUCGACCCAACCUGGAGCUCACAAAAACAUGUGUUGUAUGAAAUCAAGGUUUAAGGGAUGUAGGGCUGUGCAGGACGUGCGUUGUUAACAAAAUGUUUGCAAGCAGUUUAUUUAGUAAAAGUCAUCGCCAUUCUCUAGUCUCAAUAAACCCGGGGCACAGUGCACUGUGGAAAGCCACAGGGACCUCUGCCCUUGAAAGCUGGGUAUUGUCCAAGGUUUCUCCCAAUGUGAUAGUCUGAAAUAGGGCCUCGUGGGAUGAGAAAGACCUGACCAUCCUCCAGCCCAACACCCAUAAAGGGUCUGUGCUGAGGUGGAUUAGUCAAAGAGGAAAGCCUCUUGCAGUUGAGAAAGACGAAGACCACUGUCUCCUGCCUGCCCCUGGGAACUGAAUGUCUCUAUAUAACACCCAAAAGUACAUUUGUUCAAUUCUGAGAUGGGAGAAACUGCCCUAUGGUGGGAGGCGAGACAUGUUUACGGCAAUGCUGCCUUGUUAUUCUUUACUCCACUGAGAUGUCUGGGUGGAGAGAAACAUAAAUCUGGCUUACGUGCAUGUCCAGUCACAGUACCUUCCCUUGAACUUCAUUAUGACAUAGAUUCUGUUGCUCACAUAUUUGUUGCUGACCUUCUCCUUAUUAUCACCCUGCCCUCCUACUACAUUCCCUUUUGCUGAAAUAAUGAAGAUAAUAAUCAAUAAAAACUGAGGGAACUCAGAGACGGGUCCCAGUGCAGGUCCUUGGUAUGCUGAGCGCCGGUUCCCUGGGCUCACUGUUGUUUCUCUAUACUUUGUCUCUGUGUCUUAUUUCUUUUCUGUCUCUCAUCCCACCUGACUAGAAAUACCCACAGGUGUGGACGGGCAGGCCACCCCUUCAGUAUGAGAUUACAGGCAUGAAUAACCCCACCUGGCCACCUAACUCAGUCUUGAGAGGCCAGAAGUGAUGCUGGAACUUUCUUCCUCUGUGGGUUAAAAAGGGAAAAUUAGGAGAACACAAGGCAUGAGAGAUGCAGCGAUGAAUACGUCUAUAUGGAGCUUCUGUCUGCAUUCAGUAGAAAAUGCAUUUCUAGGCACCAGGUUUAAGAGCUAAAACCUGGAGUCUUGUCUGUUAGCAUUCUCCUUCCCCACAAACUAGAGAGAGAAUCCA